Long non-coding RNA from Zingiber officinale, 667 nucleotides. RefSeq lists it as uncharacterized. NCBI's taxonomy places the organism in Eukaryota, Viridiplantae, Streptophyta, Magnoliopsida, Zingiberales, Zingiberaceae. The transcript has 3 exons. The record is from RefSeq and is a predicted model, not a curated record.
GCCUCGUCAUGUUUCUCACUUCCUUCCGAUCCAAACUCUGGCUGUGUCCCCCUCCCCCUCCCUUUGUCUCGCUGAGCCGAUGACGAGAACAUAGCAGACGGGCAGUCGGAACCUGAUGCCGUGUCGAAUGUCUGCGACCUUAUCAGCCUCUGCGAGACAUUUCCUCCUUCAACCCGAGGAUAAAGGAACAAAUAUUCAUGGCAGCCGGUUCUUCAUCAUCAACAUCUUUCACUCGAAGACGCAUGAAUGAUGAACAAGGUGAAACAUCUCAUAUGUUAUGCUAUUGUGGGUUAAGAGCUACUCUCUGGACUUCAUGGAAGGAAACCAACCCAGGCAGGAAAGGGGAUGUGGCUUCUUCCUAUGGCAUGAUCCAGAAUUGUCAGAGAGAACUAAGGGAAUUAUUAAUGAUCUGAAGAGGGAUAACAAAAAAUUACAGAUGGAGAUUAGUGAAUUGAAGAAAUCUAAUAUGUACAUCGAAAGUGCAGUUGAUUGCAAUGUUCUCCUGGAACCUGUGAACAACUCUGUUAUUAUGAAGUUGAGUGAUGAAAUAUGUUCAUUGAAUAGAAAGUUUAGAGUUGCUAUCGUUAUAGUUGUAUUUACUUGGAUUGUGAUGAUUUGGAGAUGGUUGGUGUAAUUUGCUAUAAGAAAAUAACUGUUGAAGUAAUGA